RNAcentral lists this long non-coding RNA (3541 nucleotides) under Panax ginseng (ginseng). Its description in RNAcentral is "long non-coding RNA (PGIN_LNC018052)". Lineage: Eukaryota; Viridiplantae; Streptophyta; Magnoliopsida; Apiales; Araliaceae. The record is from RNAcentral.
GAGGAGCUCAUGAAAAUAAAAUGUCUCAUCAAUGUAUCUCUGCAUUAUCAACAUGUUCUCGCCAUACUCCUUCCGCAACUGAAAGUUCAGUCUUCUUAAAAAGCUUUACUCGAGGCAUGUCAUUGAACUCUUGAUUCUCUGUUUUAAACAAGCAAGACUGCAGACCAUUUAUUAACUCUAACAGAGCCAAACCAAUUAACUGCUUAAUAGUACCAUCAAAUUCUUUGAUCCGGUCUCUACACCAACCUAAAAACUUUUGUGCAAAAUUCAGGAAUUUACAGACACAGUUCCUAUCAACCCAGCAUACUGGACCAUUUAGUGUACACACCAUGAGUGGAAAAAUCAAAUAUUCCCAACACCACCAUAUAACGACUCAAGUUAAUAUCCUUGUUGUUUUUAGCAAUUUCAACAUGUGUUUCAGCGAGUAAUUGAGCACAGAAACUCGUUACCAUUUCUAUACUAGGUCAAACUGAGAUGACCAUCUCAACCAGUACAUUCUCCAGAAGACAUGGAGCACCAAUGCUGGUUCCCUUUUUCAUUGUAUCAUCCAAAUCUUUGAGUACCUCAUCAUCUGCAUGACCAAUUAUUGCUGGACCCCAUGAACCAACAUAGUCAAUGUACUCAUUCCAAUCAAUGUCCCACAUGUGAGAGCCCUUGACAGAAUCAAUUACAAUAAGCUGUCCACCAACUGAUUUAAAUGCAGAGACAGGGAAAUUUACACUUCCAGGCAUCAAUUCCUUGGUGAGUUCACCAUUUGUAUCUACAAACUUCCUAAAUGCUGAUGGAAACAUGCUCAGAAACAUUCCAGCCCCAAAUGAAAUUUUAAAAUGCUCUACUGAAGUGUGAGCUACCAACUCUUUUUGCACCAAGAUUACCAAAAGUUCAAGCCCUGCCCAAUACUCUCUCAUAAAAUGAAUUCCUUAUUCCUUCUAUCAUUUUUGCAAAAAUGAGAAUUAACCUUUUCCUCAAAAAUUUGUCCUCUCCAUUUAACAUGUAAAAUGCAACAUCACAAGAUGUGUAAUCAUUGAAACAAAUACUGAAAACUAGGAGAUGAGGAAAAUUAUUCAAAUUCCAUCUUGAUAAUACCUUUAGUCCCUCACACCCAACUGCUCUAGUUUCCAUAUUAGCAUCAAAGCUUACCUCAUGUCUAAUUAUAUUUUCUGCAUCAAUUUCCUAUCCUUUAAAAAAUAAUUUGUCCACAAGGAGGAAUUUUGGAGCAUUUUUGUAUUCUGCAGCACUAGUGAAAUAAAAUAUUUCUCCUGGAUCAAAACUAAAUCCUAAAGAUUUAGAGAUUGUCGCUCUACCAUGAAAAACUAAAUGAUGCUCCAACUCUUUUAUAAUACAACAACUUCCCACAUGUACAUUAUAGCCCAGAUCACAAAGGAAUGCACCAGCUAGGACAAAAAGUACUCCAUUUGUUUUAGAGUAUUCCUUGUUAUCCUUCACUUUAUGCAUCCACAUAAAGGAAUGGUUUGCAACCUCACUCGGGAUAAUAUGGGGCUGAAGUUUGUACUCGAACUUUGUAAUCCUCAAUUGUACCCUCAUUAGCGGCUAUCACGAGUCCCCAAUUACUUGCCUUCUCUUUUUCAGAUACUAAAGUUCUCAAAGCAUUAAAAGCUAAAUUAAAUUUAGACAACUGAGAGGAAGUUAUAGCAUUCCUUUCAGGAAUUUCUUCAAACACCCUAGCCUCAUCCCUUUUUGCAAACUCCGUACCAGAAAUUGUGAGGGAUUGAACAUUUUCAACUUGCAAUGAUUCAUGGGAUUGAAAAUGUGAGUCUUGUUUGGAAUAAAUUCAGUAUAGGAUAAUUCAAAUUUCUAAAUACCAUCCCAAAAUAAAGAGAAUGACACAUGAGAUGCAAAUGUAGGACUAGGAUUAAAUAUUUUUAGUAAGUACGGGAGGUUUGGAUUCAUUUUCUGAAUGUAAUGUAAUGGGAAAGCCUAUAAAAGGCCGUCUUGUACUGAAAAUUAUCAAUCGAAUAUGAAAAAUCAAUUUCCAAUCUCUCUCUAAAUAUCUUCUCUCCCUACUCUGCUACAUUGGUGCUUUCAUUGAGAGAGCUCAAUGGCUUAUCUCAAUUCUAUUGAGGCAAUUUUUACCCAAUUUACAGAUCAGUUUUGUGCUACCAUGGCCACGGUCGUACAACAUCAAUUCGAGGUGGUGAAACAAACUCAUCACACUCCUUACACAAAGAAACAUAUUAAUAAUCAGGAGAAGAAUUUAGAGAGAGACUGGAAAUUGAUUUUUCAUAUUCGAUUGACAAUUUUCAGUACAAGACAGCCUUUUAUAGGCUUUCUCACUAUAUUGCAUUCAGAAAAUGAAUCCAAACCUUCCAUACUUACUAAAAAUAUUUAAUCCUAGCCCUACAUUUGCAUCUCAUGUGUCAAUUCUCUUUAUUUUGGGAUGGUAUUUGGAAAUUUGAAUUAUCCUUUACCGAAUUUAUUCCAAACAAGACUAACAUUUGUAACAGUGGGGGUGGGGGUGGACCUGGACAAAUGUUCCUAGUUUCAAUCAAUCCGUAUCUUUGCUCAUGGCUUGUGUGCCUGUUGUUGCAGUUAAAAAAUUACAGGCUAAUGGGUUUAGUCAUGGCUGUUGAAGCAACCGAAGUUUCCACAUUCCGAGAGCAGUUGCGAUGUUUGAUAGACGAAUGAUGGUGCCACCAGAAUGUCCAAUUUUCUCUAGUUUCUAGUUCCUACACUGUUCCUAAUCUUUCUUUUAGAAAGUAUUGUUCAAACUAAAUGUUUUUAUCACCACAUUAUCUUGCAGAUUUCCAUAGUUUUACUUUCCAUUUGACUCGAUACUUCACUGAACGGCCUUUAAUGGAUUUUUGUUUAAGGAUGCCUGUGCAGUUGUUUAGCAGGAGUCAUUACGUAGUUACAUGGUAGAAAUUAUAUAUGAUAUUUUACCUUAUUAUGUUUUAUGGUGAACCGAAUUAAAUAACGGUGAAACUAGUUUUCUAUAAAUCUGAGUUGAUGGAUAUUGGAGAUUUGUUUAACGUUCUUUUUGUUUUUGUUGUUCGCAUUGGUUUAGGGGUAUUAGUGUCACCAUUUGAAAAUACUUUAAAAUUUAUUGCAAUAUAUAUUUCAUUAUAAAUUGACAUGAAUUUUGAACCAUUUGUAUUGUACCAGGCUUGAUCUCGAAAUUGGUGGCAUUAAUGGCAGGCUUAGUAAUACUAGACUGAAUUUCUGUAACUCGCGGUGUGGCUUAGUCCUGCAGUGAUUUCUGUUCUUUUUUAGCCAUAUUACCCGGUGUUUCUAGAUUCUCUCGAGUUUCCUUAAUUCACUUACUCAAUCGUUGAAACUUUUUUCAGUGUAUUCCUUGUAAGGCAACAAUUUUGGCUUCUUUUUGCAUGCACUACUCAAGAGUACCUGAAACAGGAAGUAAACGAAAAAAGAAAAGAAAAGUGUUUAACUAAAAUUGAUUUAAUUAAAUUGAUAUUGAAAGUAAUAAAUACAGUUAUAGUCUUUGGCAACGGUGCCAAAAAUUUGUUAGGUAAAAUUUAGUUGCGCACAAUACGCAAGUAUACGUAGUCAACAAGUAAUAAAG